This 229-nucleotide ribosomal RNA is filed under the name uncultured bacterium. RNAcentral's name for it is "partial 16S ribosomal RNA". It matches the Rfam family "Bacterial small subunit ribosomal RNA", at positions 88 to 334 of the family's 1533-position model. The record is from RNAcentral.
UACGGCAGCGGCAGACGGGAUAGUAACACGUGGGAACGCGCCCUUCGGUUCGGAAUAACUCAGGGAAACUUGAGCUAAUACCGGAUACGCCCUUACGGGGAAAGAUUUAUUGCCGAAGGAACGGCCCGCGUCCGAUUAGCUAGUUGGUGAGGUAAUGUCUCACCAAGGCGACGAUCGGUAGCUGGUCUGAGAGGAUGACCAGCAUCACUGGGACUGAGACACGGCCCAG